This 268-nucleotide unclassified non-coding RNA is filed under the name Hevea brasiliensis (rubber tree). The record is from RNAcentral. Lineage: Eukaryota; Viridiplantae; Streptophyta; Magnoliopsida; Malpighiales; Euphorbiaceae.
GACCAAAGGCGGUGAGCGACUCUCGGAAGAUGAGAGAUUGCAAUUUUUUUGGAAUUUUGGAAUAUGCAUUUCUUAGAAUAAGGCUUAGCUCAUCACAAGCAAUUGGGUAACGAUAGGGUUGAUUCAACGACUCCUUUAACCCUAGUUUUUGAUACCUCUCCAUCAUUGAACCUCCCAUAUCUACUAUUUCGAGCCGACCCAACGACACAUCAGAUCGUAAAUUUUGUAUAUCCUUUGUGUGUUUUUGGGAGCUAGAGACUCAGCGCCG